UGAGGAAUAUUGGUCAAUGGGCGGGAGCCUGAACCAGCCAAGCCGCGUGGAGGGAAGAAGGCGCUCAGCGUCGUAAACCUCUUUAGCCGGGGAACAAAGAGCUGCUCGGGAAGCAGCGUUGAGCGUACCCGGAGAAUAAGCAUCGGCUAACUCCGUGCCAGCAGCCGCGGUAAUACGGAGGAUGCGAGCGUUAUCCGGAUUUAUUGGGUUUAAAGGGUGCGCAGGCGGACGCGCAAGUCUGCGGUGCAAAAUUUCCGGGGGCUCCAACCCCAGGACCGCCGUGGAAACUGUGCGACUGGAGUGGGCGAGAGGCAUGCGGAAUGCGCGGUGUAGCGGUGAAAUGCUUAGAGAUCGCGCAGAACUCCGAUUGCGAAGGCAGCAUGCCGGCGCCUUACUGACGGCUCAUGCACGAAAGCGUGGGGAUCGAACAGGAUUAGAUACC
RNAcentral lists this ribosomal RNA (442 nucleotides) under uncultured bacterium. RNAcentral's name for it is "bacterial SSU rRNA". It matches the Rfam family "Bacterial small subunit ribosomal RNA", at positions 355 to 786 of the family's 1533-position model. The record is from RNAcentral.